Marmota monax (woodchuck) is the source of this 563-nucleotide long non-coding RNA. RefSeq lists it as uncharacterized. Lineage: Eukaryota; Metazoa; Chordata; Mammalia; Rodentia; Sciuridae. The transcript is spliced from 3 exons. The record is from RefSeq and is a predicted model, not a curated record.
AUCACAAGGUGAAACUCAGGGCACAUGCAGCACUGGAAGCCCUAUCCCAAGCCAGCACAUUCUUCGCCGAUCCUGUCACCUCCCCAGAUGGUGCCACACGGGAAGCUGGUGCUCUGCCCCUGCAGAAGCAACAAGAUGACAGCGUCUCAAAAGAACAGAAGGCCAUGAUCCCACGGAGAUUUAACAGCAUUACCUGCAGCCUUGGCGACCUUGCUCAAUCUGCCAGGACUGUGUUAUCCCCAGAAAUGUAAGCCAGAGGUAUUUCAGAUAGACCUGAUGUUACGAGUCGUAUAAAAGAGGUAGCCCGUGGUACAAGAUGCUAGUCAAUAGCUACAAUUUAUUAAGUGCCAACCACACACCAGCUACCUCACCACCCUACAUCUGUAUAAGCCCCUUUUUCUCUCUCUCCCCAUUUGGUAAUUUGGGCAAGCCGUUGACUGUGGGUGACUGAAACCACACAGAAUGAAACCGCAGAUAAAGAGGACUACUGUCAUGGCAAAUCAGAACCUGGAGCAGAGGGAGUACUGACUACAAUCAAGGGGAUCAAUCUAGCCUCCUCCAAA